UACGUAGGGUGCGAGCGUUAAUCGGAAUUACUGGGCGUAAAGUGUGCGCAGGCGGUUUUGCAAGUCAAGUGUGAAAGCCCCGGGCUUAACCUGGGAACUGCGCUUGAAACUACGGAACUCGAGUAUGGCAGAGGAAGGUGGAAUUCCACGUGUAGCGGUGAAAUGCGUAGAGAUGCGGAGGAACACCGAUGGCGAAGGCAGCCCCCUGGGCCGACACUGACGCUCAGGCACGAAAGCGUGGGGAGCAAACAGG
Molecule: ribosomal RNA, 253 nt
Filed under: uncultured bacterium
Lineage: Bacteria
Description: partial 16S ribosomal RNA
Rfam family: Bacterial small subunit ribosomal RNA
Source: RNAcentral